GAGUCAGCUCUGAGGCGCCUUCCCCGCCCCCGCCUUGGCGGGGGGAGGAGACCUGGAGCUGAAGCGUCCCUGCCCCCCACCCAUCCGACGCUCACUGAAUGGGAACCAUAGGCGACCCUGAAAUGGGCAGGCCCAGAGUUGAAAUCUGAAAGGACCACCUGGCAAUCCGAUGAAGUUACUUGGACGGGCAGCGUGGCUAGCCAAUAGAAGAGUUCCGGCCAAGAAAAGUUUUUGAGAGCCAAUCAAGAGUGUGCUACCUCGAGAAAAGCUACCAAGAGGAAAGUGGAGAAUUUUAGCUUUGGUGCUCUGCUGUGGGACCAUUUGGGCCCAGAUGGACACUUAAACAUGAAAAUAUAAUUGAAGAAAAAGGAAUCUUCCACAAUUGAGAAGGGAUCAUCUUUGUCACUUAUCAUGAACAUAGUCUUACACUCUUCUCCUAACCAUAUAUCUGACAGUUUCAUGUUCAUCAUUUCAGCCAAAGCUAUAACUUAUGAAGACAGACUAUGGCAGGAAGGAUUGGUGUCUCCAUCAAGGAAAGGAUUACUCACGCUGAUCAACUCAUGCAUCUUGGAAGUAUUGAAGCUCUUACAGCCCUCUGCUUAAUAUUAUCUACCUUUAAGAAGACCUAGCCAAACCACACAUUCCAAGAAUCCAAACUCACUUAUCUUGUCUACUAUAAAGAUCCCUGAGAUGGACCAAGGAACUCUAAUCAAUAUAUUGACCAACCAAGAUUCCAGAGCAUCAAUGGUGAAGAAUUUUACUCACCUUUUGACAAAGAAGUGAUGAACUCAUUAUUCAUAAUAAAAUAUACUUUUUUGGAACA
RNAcentral lists this long non-coding RNA (823 nucleotides) under Monodelphis domestica (gray short-tailed opossum). RNAcentral's name for it is "lncRNA (ENSMODG00000041772.1)". The record is from RNAcentral. Lineage: Eukaryota; Metazoa; Chordata; Mammalia; Didelphimorphia; Didelphidae.